AUUGUCAGUUAAAAUUCAAGUGACAUCAUCACCGGUGCCCAUAACGGUCAAGCUUUAUAUAUAAUGUCACCACAGGAGAAUCAGUGGGGUAAGCAAAAGAAAGAAUGUCCAUAAGGCAUUCACACAUGGUUUGGGAUCUAAAACAUUUCAACAUUUGAGUUUGGUACCUCUGGCAUGUCUUUGUAGGUGAGAUCAAACAAUCUGGUGCGGAACAAGUUUCUGGCUUCAGUUUUACCUGGAGGAAGCCAAAGGAACAUUGGAUUAUCAAGGCUAUAUAGAUUUCCCCGGUGAAAUUGUUAAACCUGAUUCAUGAGCAUCAGCUGCUAACGAUCCAGAGUUCGAGUUGGCUCUCUACACAAUGUGUUUUAUUCGUGUGAAGUCUUCACAGUGAAGAGAAGAAAGCCAUAUUCAGCUGGGUCCAUACAAUGUUAAUGUCAAAUGUUACCUACUUGGCAACAACCGUAUAGGCUCAGUUUUCCCCAUUGCAGAAUCUUGAAAACCUCUCUCUUGAUGACUCCUAAUCAAAAUAUCUUUGCAUUGCGCAGAGCUGUGUAUUGAAUUAUGAGAAACUAUGUCUUGUCAUGCUUCAAACAUAAAAGGAGAGUGGGAGAGUAUAUCUUGUGCUAAUGCGAAAAGAUAUUUAUUUGAUUUUGGUAAAAUACAAACUCGUUAACUUUCUCGCAUAUCUAUUGUAUGAACACUUAUCACAUUUCACAAAGCAGAAAAAAUAUCGAAGCAAGACAAUGACACUAUAAAGCUUAAUUGUUAAGGGUUCUAUUUUUUGAUAACCCAGGAUAAACCCCAAGGCUUGAUUAAUUCCCAGGGCCGGUCCACC
Long non-coding RNA from Brassica oleracea var. oleracea, 835 nucleotides. RefSeq lists it as uncharacterized. The record is from RefSeq and is a predicted model, not a curated record. Lineage: Eukaryota; Viridiplantae; Streptophyta; Magnoliopsida; Brassicales; Brassicaceae. The transcript is spliced from 3 exons.